UUUUUGACAAUUUGGCCUUUACACCCUCUUGCAUUAAUGUUUUUCUCUCCCUUGUAAUCCCUUGAUUUCUUCCUGCUUUCUUUUAUCUUAGCUGUUCUAGGGAAGGCUUGAGAGCUUUUUUUGGAUUAGACUAGUUGGAAGGUAAUAUUGUCUGAAAAUAAAUGCCUAAAUAAAUGUGUAAGAACAAGCUAAGUGUUUGUUAUGCUUCUUUCAGGUACAUCACCUAUUUGCAACACAGGAACUCCCUAAAUUUGCCUUUCCAGACUUUAGAGUGUACUGAGAGUCUUGGACUCCAUGUUCCCUGAUGAUUACCAAAGCGAGACUGCCGGAAGAGGGGAGCAUGCUGGCAGAGCCACGCCUCACCUGAGUGACUUGAAGAAGCUGGAGAGUCAUGGAGCUGGGAUGAGUUCCUUAGGCUAGACAACAAACAUUACAAAUGCCAUGCCAUAUGCAAUAUCACUAUACAUAAUAUGUAAAUUGAAAAAAACAGAUGUUGCAAAGCAAGCUGUCAGUAUGGUAGAACCAAGUUAUUGUUUUUGCAGCUAUUAAUCAACCUGCUUCUGUAUAUUCAUUCCAACAAAUGUGCCUGACAUUGACUUCACCUGGGAGACCUGUAGGAGAGCUGGGGCUGACAGCUCUCCUGGAUUUGCCAGUGCCAGAAAGACAGCGAUCAUAUUGUCUGGUGUUCUGCAUCAUGCAGUGGGUGUUAAAUUUUGUGUGGUUAAAAAUCUUAAAAUGUAUGGGAGAUGGUCAGCUUUCUUGUUUUAUUCAAAGUCUGGUUUCCAUCAUGAAAGCCUGCGAAACUUGAAGGAUAUAGGUUCCGGUCACAAGAAUGCAAAGCAGUGAUCUAUUGUGUCUUUUCUUCUUUGUGCUCUGGAGUUUAACCAGCACACUAGUCUAAUAUUCUCUUGCUUGCUAGUGGCAGUUUCUGUUUCUUUUUUGUUUUGGUUUUUUUUGGUAGUGGUAGUCAUUAGAUUUUCUCCCAAGAGAAUUACUGCCAAAGUAAACAAACAUCUUCAUGGAAGGAAAAUAAUGUCUAGAGUAUUCAGAAUUCCAUGUUUUACAGAUGAGUAUUUGUGGCAACCAACUAGCGAAUUAAAGUGAAUGAAAUCCUUUUUCUAGUUUGCUACUUUUGCUGUGCUAAUUGAAUGUGACAAUUUCUGCUAGCUUCUCAGCUCUGCAGUGCAAGUACUGGAUGCCAGUUAUAAUUUAAGAUUAAGAAAAAUAUGAGAUGAAACUUGGUUUAAAAAAAGAUUUUAUUUUUUAUUUUUAUUGGUGGGAAUUGAAUAGUACAUGUAAACCUCCAAGGAAUUGCUGUUGUCUCUAAAGUGUUCUGCAUGUGGUUGGCAAGAAAAACAAGGAGAGAGGAAAGUUCAGCUAAAAAAUUCAUAAAGGCUGUCUGGUGGAAUGCAUUACAGUCAUCUGUAUACCUCUGUGCUCUUAUCCCUCUGAACUGAUAAUUUUUAGCUGAGAUGAAACGUUCUGACAAACAGGAGGCUGGCAGAUUUGCAGCAUAGAUUGUUUGAAGGUUUAAAUACUGUGACUAUCUCAGCUUACUGCAAGUCUGUAGAUAUAAUGUAAGCUGGAGUUGCUGAAAAGUGAUAGAAUAGCUCAUAUGAACAGCCAAAAAACCCUGUAAAGAGCUUUUAUUGUGUGCUUCAGAAUUCUGCAGUCUUUCUCUAUCUUUCUACAGGAUAGCAAUAAUUCACCAGUAGAGCAGAGACACUUCAAAUUUGUUGACGAUGAGACCAUAUCUAGUUCUUUGUUUAGGCAAAGGCUUUCACAAAGGGGACCAGUGGUAACUGGGAGCUGCUGCCAACACCAUCAUAUGUUUCUUGACAAAUGCAAAGUGUUCAAAAAGUUGGCACUACAAAAUAGAGAUACUGUCAAUCUUUGUUUAAUUCUCAAAAUGGCUUUUAAGCUUUUAAAGCUUGUGUUGUUGCUGGCACACUUGCAUAUCAGAUAACAUUUUUGACAGUCCUUAUAAUAUGGCUGGUUAAUUUGGUCACAUUACUAGAACAUAAACCAAAAUUCUGUGAGUGCUAAGAUUUUACUGCUGGUUUUUCCUACGUGCCAUGAGCAGAAGAAGGGUAUGUUCAGCAGUGUGUGCUACUAUAGCCAGAACACAGUAUUUUCUUAUCUCCUUUUCUCUGCACCAUGCAGAUGCAGCUGCCACUGUUUAUCAAACAUGAAGGUGUUGUUCACAGCUCUGUGAGUAAGUUUGGGUUUUGCUUUACAUAAUGCAGGAGACAUCUCUACUAAUUGCACAAAUGUUCAGCCCAUAUUUAUGUACUGGAUAUUGUGGUGUAGGAGGCAAAUUAAAAUUUUAAGGUAUUAUUUCUGUGAUCAUUGGCUAGGUCUCCAGAAGCUCAUGGACCUGGAUUUUGCUGGGAAUAACUGUGUGGUGCUUCCAGUUAUAGAAUAAUCUGUUCUGAAGGGUGGAAUACUCCAGUGUGAAUGCAUGUAGAUGAGGUAGGAGACCCAAGGAAACUCUGUAAAUUUUUGGGCAAGGAGGCUUUGAAGUAGCAGUCAUGAGUCCUGCAGGUAGCCCUGAUCUCAGGUGCAGCAGGAGGAAGCAAGUGUCUGUAGCUACUAGGUCUGCCCCCCUGGAGGAAGUGUACAGAUCAUGUAGCAACUUAAACAGAAGGAGUAUAUGUUUGUACCUCAGCAGGCUAUUAAAAAAGUGCUUUCAACUGCUACAAGAAAAUUUAUUAAAGCUUACUUAUUAAACUCAAAGCAAUAGAAGAACAGGUUCCCCUUCUGAACCAUAGCAUCUGUGUUGUACAAAAACCAAAGGCAGCCUCUCUGAUUUAUAUGUGAAAAUAUAUUCUCUUGUACUUGACCUUAUUUUCUCUUUGAGUGUAAGACGGAUGCUCACUAGUUUUACACCACCACCCACUGCUUCAGUAAGAUUAUUUUCAACAGAUUCUGCAAGAAAUUUUCUGCUUUAAUUAAUACGGAAUUAUCUCAGAAAUUACCAGUGCAGACUCUUCAGAUUUAGCAUAGAACUAAAAUUAGUCAGUCUAGAGCAGAAGAAGCACAGAUUAAAAUUUAAAAAUACAUUAACCAUAUAAUUGUGAGUAAUUAUGAUGAUAUAUCCAGUAGUCAAGAUGGGGUCAACAGUGCUGGGCCGGCCACACGGGAUAUCAGAGUUUAGCUAGUCAGGAGCAGCCAGCCUGCUUGAAGGGUAGGAUUUCUUUCCCAUUUGCUGAGGGCAUGCAGCUUCUUUUAGGAAAUGCUCCAUUAUCCAUGGCUGGAAUGAUGAGACUUGUCUAGUGAUGAGGCUGUCCUUCUGGGGGGAAAAGGGGCAGGCCUGGAUGCAGUGCAGAAUUGAACUCAGCUCUGCCAUACAGCAAAUGAAGGCUCUCUCAACACUUGGCUGGUUUUAGUCAUGUCCCAGCUUCAUGCCUUCCCCACCCCUGGCUUUUUGCUUGUUUUUUAACCUACUAAGUUAUAUUUCUGAACAGUGUAUAGUGACUCUACUGAAGCUUUCACUUAUUUUCCUGUGGGUCUCCCUCCUCCUUCUAAAUAUGCCUAGCUCUAGAUGGGACUCAGAAACAAGAAAUCUUGAGUUCUCCCAUAAUAAUUUACAUGUCUGAUCUGAUGAUGAAUUGUAAAUCAGUUAAGCUUCAUGACUUUUGAACAUUCAUGCAAUUAUGAUACAAAGACAUUGAAAAGCAAUAUGCUAAUUUUGCCCCAUAUAUUUUGGUUACUAAAGGUCAUAUUAUCCACAUGAUUAUUUCUUAAUGCUCAUGUAUAGCAUUCUUAAUAAUUGUAAAGAAAAGAAAUCAAAGAAAAAUUCUUUGCCAAGAAACUAUACAAAACCUAAACAUAUUAGAAUAUUAAUGCUAAAAUAUUUUAGAAGUCCAUUAGCUAUAAAAAAUAAUUGAAACCUAGAAAAUGUAGGGAAAAUAUUGCAUUUCAAUAAAAUGAAAUAUAUUAAAAAAUAAAACACACAGUUGAAUGUCAUCCAGACAACCUUAAUUUGCUUCUGUAAUGAGAACUUGAGGGAAAUGUUGAGUUAAAUUUAGUUUAUUUCAGUAGAUUCUAUUUUUUUAACCCUUUAUGCCCAUAUAAAAAAAAAAAAUUUUGGUAGGUUUUAUCUAACCGAGUGCUGGAAGUGCUUUCUAACCACGUAGCUACAAGGUGAAGGAACUAAGGAAAGAGCAGAAUUGUUGCCUUCAUCUUUUUCACAGAGAGUACAAAACCUACUGAAAUUUUGUCAUUUAGUCUCUCAUUAUGGUACUGAGAGCUCAGAUCCAUUUUUAUGCAAUGGCACAAAACAGUUUGCUGCUUAAGUAUAUCUUGCAGAAGCUGAGGAACAUCUACACCACAAAUCAAUUGUAUCCAUGAUAUUAAGAGGGAAGAUGACAUAGAUCUUUAAAAAUUCCCAAAACUUGACAAAUGACCUUGAGUAAUUGUGAUAUAAUUUUGGGUCAGUGUGCUUUGACUGGUGGUCAGUCAAAAUGCAUCAGAGAUUUGUUUUCACAGCUGUAAUAAUUUUUUUUUGUGUUCAUGCUUAUAGCAGGUUGUAGCUAAAGAGCAGAAAACCUCAUAAAAUGUCUACAUUAGGAAAUCAAAGGGCUUUUCCUUUCUGUCUUUCCUCCCAAAUAACAUCUCUUUUUUUCAACAUUGAAAGGUCGUCUUUAUUAGAGGAAAUUUACCAGAGACUAGAGUGGUAUAAUUAUGCCUUGUGGAUGCUUUUUAAUCUUGCAUGAAUGCCUGUAGAAUUCUAGUGUCCACUUGGGGAGUUAUACCAUCAGAACUAUAGGGGCAUAAUUACACAGGUGAAUUCUGUAUUGAGACAAAUGCUUUAUGAAAAGGAAUUUUAUUUUUGCUCUUUACUUUUCAGCUUAUUCAUGUUCUGAACUAAAAGGAGGUGAUCAAAUCAAUGAAAAUAAUGAAAAUUCAAUGGUUACCAAGGGCUGGGGAAAUUGGAAAGUAAUAAAUAUAUAUGUUUCCUGAUAACA
Lonchura striata (white-rumped munia) is the source of this 4970-nucleotide long non-coding RNA. RefSeq lists it as uncharacterized. The record is from RefSeq and is a predicted model, not a curated record. NCBI's taxonomy places the organism in Eukaryota, Metazoa, Chordata, Aves, Passeriformes, Estrildidae.